UCUAAGCUAUGCAAAAGUGCUUAUAGUGCAGGUAGCUAUUAGCACCUACUGCACUUAAAGCACUUCCCGCAUUGCCGUGG
This is a non-coding RNA of Pelobates cultripes (western spadefoot toad), 80 nucleotides long. NCBI's taxonomy places the organism in Eukaryota, Metazoa, Chordata, Amphibia, Anura, Pelobatidae. The record is from the annotation of a GenBank genome assembly.